UUGCCUGAGGGUGCAGUCCUCGGGGCCAACCUCCCACCCGUGUUGCCCGAACCUAUGUUGCCUCGGCGGGCCCCGCGCCCGCCGACGGCCCCCCUGAACGCUGUCUGAAGUUGCAGUCUGAGACCUAUAACGAAAUUAGUUAAAACUUUCAACAACGGAUCUCUUGGUUCCGGCAUCGAUGAAGAACGCAGCGAAAUGCGAUAACUAAUGUGAAUUGCAGAAUUCAGUGAAUCAUCGAGUCUUUGAACGCACAUUGCGCCCUCUGGUAUUCCGGAGGGCAUGCCUGUCCGAGCGUCAUUGCUGCCCUCAAGCCCGGCUUGUGUGUUGGGCCCCGUCCCCCCCGCCGGGGGGACGGGCCCGAAAGGCAGCGGCGGCACCGCGUCCGGUCCUCGAGCGUAUGGGGCUUCGUCACCCGCUCUAGUAGGCCCGGCCGGCGCCAGCCGACCCCCAACCUUUAAUUAUCUCAGGUUGACCUCGGAUCAGGUAGGGAUACCCGCUGAACUUAAGCUAUCUAAAAAAGGAAAAGAAACGGAGUGCGGGC
This 541-nucleotide ribosomal RNA is filed under the name Penicillium griseofulvum. RNAcentral describes it as "eukaryotic LSU rRNA". The stretch from base 144 to 297 matches the Rfam family "5.8S ribosomal RNA". Lineage: Eukaryota; Fungi; Ascomycota; Eurotiomycetes; Eurotiales; Aspergillaceae. The record is from RNAcentral.